GAUGAACGCUGGCGGCGUGCCUAACACAUGCAAGUCGAGCGUGAUAGUGUGGAUUGAAGCUUCGGCAGAGAGAAACACAUGAAAGCGGCGGACGGGAGAGUAACGCGUGGGCAACCUGCCCCAUACAGCGGAAUAGCCACUGGAAACGGUGAUUAAUGCCGCAUAAGACCACAGUAUCGCAUGGUACGGGGGUCAUAGAUUUAUCGGUAUGGGAUGGGCCCGCGUCUGAUUAGGUAGUGGGUGAAGUAACGGACCACCAAGGCGGCGAGCAGUAGCCGACCUGAGAGGGCGGACGGCCACACUGGAACUGAGACACGGUCCAGACUCCUACGGGAGGCAGGAGUGGGGAAUAUUGCACAAGGGGCGCAAGCCGGAUGCAGCUACGCCGCGUGAGAGAAGAAGGCCUUCGGGUCGUAAAGCUCUGUCCUGUGGGAAGAAAAAAAUGACGGUACCACAGGAGGAAGCCCCGGCUAACUACGUGCCAGCCGCCGCCGUAA
Molecule: ribosomal RNA, 497 nt
Filed under: uncultured bacterium
Lineage: Bacteria
Description: partial 16S ribosomal RNA
Rfam family: Bacterial small subunit ribosomal RNA
Source: RNAcentral